This 204-nucleotide ribosomal RNA is filed under the name uncultured bacterium. RNAcentral describes it as "partial 16S ribosomal RNA". It matches the Rfam family "Bacterial small subunit ribosomal RNA", at positions 1298 to 1500 of the family's 1533-position model. The record is from RNAcentral.
UCGCAGUCUGCAACUCGACUGCGUGAAGGCGGAGUCGCUAGUAAUCGCGGAUCAGCAACGCCGCGGUGAAUGCGUUCCCGGGCCUUGUACACACCGCCGUCAAGUCAUGAAAGUGGGUAGCACCCGAAGCCGGUGGCCCGACCCUCGUGGGGGGAGCCGUCUAAGGUGAGACUCGUGAUUGGGACUAAGUCGUAACAAGGUAAC